UGGGGAGUACGACCGCAAGGUUAAAACUCAAAUGAAUUGACGGGGACCCGCACAAGUAGUGGAGCAUGUGGUUUAAUUCGAAGAUACGCGCAGAACCUUACCAACACUUGACAUGUUCGUCGCGACUCUAAGAGAUUAGAGUUUUCGGUUCGGCCGGACGAAACACAGGUGCUGCAUGGCUGUCGUCAGCUCGUGUCGUGAGAUGUUGGGUUAAGUCCCGCAACGAGCGCAACCCUCACUUUUAGUUGCCAUCAUUAAGUUGGGCACUCUGAAAGAACUGCCAGUGAUAAGCUGGAGGAAGGUGGGGAUGACGUCAAGUCCUCAUGGCCCUUACGUGUUGGGCUACACACGUGCUACAAUGGUAUCUACAACAGGAAGCAAAACGGCAACGUUAAGCAAAUCCCGAAAAGAUACCUCAGUUCGGAUUGCACUCUGCAACUCGAGUGCAUGAAGCUGGAAUUACUAGUAAUCGUGGAUCAGCGUGCCACGGUGAAUGCGUUCCCGGGUCUU
RNAcentral lists this ribosomal RNA (510 nucleotides) under uncultured Alphaproteobacteria bacterium. Its description in RNAcentral is "bacterial SSU rRNA". It matches the Rfam family "Bacterial small subunit ribosomal RNA", at positions 874 to 1382 of the family's 1533-position model. The record is from RNAcentral. Lineage: Bacteria; Pseudomonadati; Pseudomonadota; Alphaproteobacteria.